This 425-nucleotide ribosomal RNA is filed under the name uncultured Gammaproteobacteria bacterium. RNAcentral describes it as "bacterial SSU rRNA". It matches the Rfam family "Bacterial small subunit ribosomal RNA", at positions 608 to 1029 of the family's 1533-position model. Lineage: Bacteria; Pseudomonadati; Pseudomonadota; Gammaproteobacteria. The record is from RNAcentral.
CUUAACCUGGGAAUGGCAUUCGAUACUGGUCAGCUAGAGUUUGGUAGAGGUAAGCGGAAUUCCGGGUGUAGCGGUGAAAUGCGUAGAUAUCCGGAGGAACAUCAGUGGCGAAGGCGGCUUACUGGACCAAAACUGACGCUCAGGCACGAAAGCGUGGGUAGCAAACAGGAUUAGAUACCCUGGUAGUCCACGCCCUAAACUAUGUCAACUAGCCGUUGGGUCCCCUUAAUAGGACUUAGUGGCGAAGCUAACGCGUUAAGUUGACCGCCUGGGGAGUACGGCCGCAAGGUUGAAACUCAAAGGAAUUGACGGGGGCCCGCACAAGCGGUGGAGCAUGUGGUUUAAUUCGAUGCAACGCGAAGAACCUUACCAGCCCUUGACAUCCCGGGAAGGUUCCAGAGAUGGAACUGUGCCUUCGGGAACCC